CGUCCCGAUUUAUCGGGAUGCGGGGCAGACGGCUGAGUAACACGUGGGAAUCUACCCUGGACACGAGAAUAACCCCGCGAAAGCGGGGACAAUGCUCGAUAGUCUGUACGGAUCUUCGGAUUUUGUAUAGUAAAGCUCCGGCGGUCCAGGAUGAGCCCGCGGCUUAUCAGGUUGUUGGUGGGGUAAAGGCCUACCAAGCCGAUGACGAGUAGCCGGUCUGAGAGGACGGACGGCCAGACUGGGAUUGCGAGACGGCCCAGACUCCUACGGGAGGCAGCAAUUAGGAAUCGUGCGCAAUGGGCGAAAGCCUGACGCCGCGACAUCGCGUGGAGGAUUGAAGGCUCUAGGGUCGUAAACUCCUUUUAUACACGAACAAGUUCUGAGUGUAGUGUAUGAAUAAGCGCCUGCUAACCACGUGCCAGAAGCAUCGGUAAUACGUGGGGCGCGAGCGUUAUCCGGAUUUACUGGGCGUAAAGAGAUGCGUAGGCGUCUUUCCAAGUCACUUGUUAAAUCUUCCGGCUCAACCGGGAAACUGCAAGUGAUACUGG
Molecule: ribosomal RNA, 548 nt
Filed under: uncultured bacterium
Lineage: Bacteria
Description: bacterial SSU rRNA
Rfam family: Bacterial small subunit ribosomal RNA
Source: RNAcentral